Molecule: unclassified non-coding RNA, 249 nt
Filed under: uncultured fungus
Lineage: Eukaryota; Fungi
Description: partial contains 5.8S ribosomal RNA, internal transcribed spacer 2, and large subunit ribosomal RNA
Rfam family: 5.8S ribosomal RNA (bases 1-52)
Source: RNAcentral
AACGCACCUUGCACCUUUUGGUAUUCCGAAAGGUAUGCCUGUUUGAGUGUCAUGAAAUAUCAACCAUUAGGGUUUCCUAAUCGGCUUGGACUUGGGCGCUGCCGUCUGGCUCGCCUUAAAUGCGUUAGUGGAUGACCCAUUAGCUUGACGUAAUAAGUUUCGUCACCCGAGUGGUCAGCAUCUGCUUACAACAACCAAUAUUUCUUAAUCUCUGACCUCAAAUCAGGUAGGACUACCCGCUGAACUUAA